AGAAACUUCCCGGCCAGCUCCACCCAGAAGAGAGAGCAGAUGGAAAAUUGGAGCAAGCCCUCAUCUUGGGUCAGGGAAGAAAAGAUUCUUUUUUUCCCCUUCUCUCUAAAAAUAUGCUCAGGGCUUUUUUGAGCCUUGAUGCAAUAGAAACCAGCUGUGGCCCAGAACGCCCCCGCAGCCACUGCCCAGGGAAAAGGAAAACAGAAACAGCCAUUGGAGGCGGGAUCAAUGCCUGUGUUUGGGCUCCAGGCCCAGCCUCUAGCCACCUCUGGCCUGGAAUUGUGUCCCAAAUGGGCACCAAACAGUCCCUGUUUAUUCGUCCUGUUGUGGGCUCAGGGCCCCAGGAGUCACUUAGCCCUUCCUCUUUCAAUUCUUGGCGCAGAGGAUGAGAAGAUGACAAGAAGUGGGCGUUUCUUAAACUCUGCACCCAGGCCUGCUGCUUCCUGGACCAACUCUUCCAUGGCCCUGGGUGUCACCCAGUGUUUCUGGAGCCUCUGAGUGGUGCCCGCUGCCUGGCAGCAGCCCCUGGAGGUGGUCACGGUGUCUACAAUUCCAUCACCAGAUCUUCCAUUUCCAGGAGUAACCCUGGGCAGGUGUAUACCAUGUGUCUUGUUUACAGUGGGGAUUAAUAGUUCAAGGAGCCCAAGGAGGGAAGGACCGGAUGUACUCUGCAAUCCCAGAAAACUCAAUGGGCUGAGGCAGGAGGACCUACUGGCCAUUGAAGACUGUCCACUCCUGGUCCAGAUUCCAAGUGACCAGGCAGAAAGAGCAUGGACUUUGGAGUUUGAUUGCCUGGCUUUAAAUCCCCCUGCUCCACUCGCUACUGUGGUGUGGACUCAAAUUCAACAAAUAUUCAUGCUGGAAUGGGAUGCAGAAGUCACCUACUUUCAGAGAUGGGGAAACUGAGACCCAGAGAGGGCACAGCCUUUUCUCGGGGGCCUCCAGUGACUCAGAGUCAAAUCUGUGCUUCUUGGCUCCUGGAUCUCUGAGCUGCACCCACUGGACCCCUAUGCCAACCCCAGCACCCCUGUUCUCCAUGGCGGCCCCGCCCUGAGGAUUUCCUAUGCCUUUCUACAGAGCUUUCUCCUUCUCCUAGAUCCCUUUUCUGCAAAACGAGGCUGGGGAGUUCUGAGCCAAGCCCAGGCCCACGUGCCUGGAACCAGAGACAGCGUAAGGAGCAGACACUGCCAGGUCACUUGCAGCAGACUCCAGGAGGAAAUGAGGGAAACAGAACCUCAGCCGUAGCCUAGCCAGGGCUCUCAGAGCCUAGAAAGCUCUUAGGAGAAGUGGAGAGUUGUUCAGAUCCAGGCUAAUUUGUCAUCUCCAGCCCUUCUCUGGUGAUCAGCUUGCCUCUUCCUCUACCUGCCCCUAUAGGUAGAGGAAGCUUGCCCUUCCUCUCCUGCAUCUUCUCCUCCCCUUUCUGUCACAUGCCUUCUGCUUCUUGAGGCCUCUGCCUCAUUGUAGUUUCUCUUGCUGUCCAGUUCCGGUGAGCUCAUGGCUUCUGUAGCCCAGUUUCUCUUUGCUUCCCUUUGUGAAUCUUUCCUGCUUCGACUCUCACUCCCAACUUCUUAACUUACACUCAAUGCUCCCAGAGGGAGGACUUGAUUGGUUUGGAAGUCCCCCACCAGGACAGGCCAAGGAUUAAGUGAGUUCUUAUAUGAGGUCUCUGAUUCCCUAACUCCAGCUAGGUGUUCAAUUAUUCAGUUCAAUUCUGACACCAACUCCAGGAGUUAGUGCAGACCCCAAGGUUUAGGGCUCAGCCCCACAGGGCUGUCCCCCUUUAGCCACCAGUCACACACAAGUCCAGGGACCAUCUGUACAUCUGACUGCCUGGCUCUGAAUUUCAGGGUUCCCAUAACCUCCCCUUCUAGUUAGAUCAUUCACUAGAACAAUUCACAAAACUCAGCAAGUGCUUUACUUACUAUUACCAGUGGAUUAUAAAGGAUACUACUCAAGAACAGACUCAUGGAAGAGAUGCAGGGAACAAAACAUGGGGGAUUUGCACAAAGCUUCCACGCCCUCCCAGCGAGUCCCUGUGUUCACCAGCCCUGAAGCUCCCAAACCCUGUUGUUUAGGGGUUUUUCUUGCAGUUUCAUUAUGAUGGAUUAAAUCAUUGGCCAUUGGCGAUUGAAUUCAAUCUCCAGCCCAUCUUACCCCCAUGGAGGCUGUAGGGGGUGUGGGGGUAACCAGCCCUCAUCAUGAAGCUCUCUAGGGCUCCUCCAUAAGUCAUCUCAUUAGCAUAUGAAAGGCAAUACGUUCAGGGGUUUUAGGAGCUCUGUGCCAGGAAUUAGAGACCAAGACCAAAUAUUUAUAUUUUAUACCACACCAGGCCACUUCUCAGCCCACUGGCCAACUUCAAGAUUGACUGCUGUUAGGUCACAAUACCCACUUGGCCAGGGGUAGAGAUCACUCAGUAUCAUGUGUGGUGUAAGCUGUUGAGAUUAGGCAUAGACAGUGGCAGGUGACUGACGGGCUGGACAACUGACAGAUGCUCACCUUGGCCAGUGUAGGCACAGAUAGGGCAGGACCCCAUUUGUUUAAGUGUUCCAUCCUCAGAAAUCCCCUCUCCCCCACUUCUUCCUUCUCUUCAUUCCUUCUUUGCUAUUUUUAAAUGGCACAUUGGAAAUAAAACAAUUGUCAAUGUAUUCAGCCCUCCCGCAGCGGGCUGCCAAUCAGCACAGUCCAGCCUACCUCCGCUUCCAUUCCCUCCACCUUAGCCCUCACCUCCCUCUUUGCUCUUGCCCCCGUCUCCGGGCACUCAGGUCUCUGUUAGUUUCUCAACAGCUUUGCAUAUGCUGUUCCCUCUAUUUGGAAUGCUCUUCCCCAUCUCCCACCCCUGGCUGGCUUUUCCUGGCCACCCACUCUGAAUGAUGCGCUCCUCUUACAUAUGUGCCCUGUGUGUUUCUUUACUGAUACUUGUCAGCCUGCUGAUCGACUUAUUUGCACAAACAUUUAAUAAAUCACUGGACCGUCUGCUGUAGGCGGGCAGAGAUCAGAUCUGUUUUGUCUUGCUCAGUACUGUGCAAUAACACCUAGAACAGGCCUGGCUUGGUAGAUAGCUAUUGAAUAAGUGAGUGAAUGGAUGAAUGUCAUUGAAUCAGAGAUGAUUAUGAUUCACAAAGGCUUAUAUGUAUGAGUGAAUUUGAAAAAAUAGAAACAACUUGAAUAUUCAAUAAUAGCCAAUUAAAAAUAUAGUAACCUACAAUGGAAUUUGCAUGGCA
RNAcentral lists this long non-coding RNA (3221 nucleotides) under Homo sapiens (human). RNAcentral's name for it is "HSALNT0154242". The record is from RNAcentral. Lineage: Eukaryota; Metazoa; Chordata; Mammalia; Primates; Hominidae.